Molecule: long non-coding RNA, 344 nt
Filed under: Meriones unguiculatus (Mongolian gerbil)
Lineage: Eukaryota; Metazoa; Chordata; Mammalia; Rodentia; Muridae
Description: lncRNA (ENSMUGG00000004560.1)
Source: RNAcentral
CAAGGAGCAGAUGCUGGAGCUGCUGGUCCUCGAGCAGUGCGCCACCGUCGCCCCGAGAGCGGAUACCCGCGCCCUGCACCCGGCCUCCCCGCAGGGCACCCCAACUUUCAAGGCCGAGGCGGGAUCUCCGACCCAGGGAGAAUGGCAGCAGCUGCCAUGGACCCCCAGAACGGUUCGUGCAAAGAGAGCGUGGAGGACUACGGGAGCACGGCCGUGCCGGGCCUGGAGAACCAAGCUGCCUAGAACCCUGACCUGAUCCUAAAGUAGGAGAAGGACUGCAAGGAGGAGGCCAAGCUUGCCCAGGCCUGGGUACAAGGUGCGCCCCCGGGGAUGGACCUGGACAG